This 414-nucleotide ribosomal RNA is filed under the name uncultured fungus. RNAcentral's name for it is "eukaryotic LSU rRNA". The record is from RNAcentral. Lineage: Eukaryota; Fungi.
AGAGUUAAAUAGUACGUGAAAUUGUUAAAAGGGAAACGAUUGAAAUCAGUGUUGCGGCUGGACAAUCAGCCGGGAGUCGGGCGAGGUAUGCGGGCCGAGGAGUGUCAAAACCCUCGCCGUUGUCCGAGUCAGGCUGCCGGUGCACUUGUUCAGUAGCAGGUCAGCAUCAGUUUUGGCUGGUGGACAAAGCCGUGGAGAAGGUACCUAGCCCUUCGGGGAGAGUGUUAUAGCUCUGCGGAAAUACACCGGACGGGACUGAGGAACGCAGUGUGACCCGCAAGGGAUGGCAGGCGCUAAGCCAGCCGAGUUCUAGUCCGGCAGACAGCUUGCUGACUGUCGGACGAGUACCAGGCAUGAGUUUGGCUGUCCUGACUGUGCACACUUAGGAUGCUGACAAAAUGGUUUUAAACGACC